GAUGAACGCUAGCGGGAGGCCUAAUACAUGCAAGUCGAGCGGUAGAAUGACUUCGGUUGCUUGAGAGCGGCGAACGGGUGAGUAACGCGUACACAAUCUACCUUUAAGAGGGGAAUAGCCCUGGGAAACUGGGAUUAAUGCCCCAUGGCAUCACGAGACGGCAUCGUUUUGUGAUUAAAGCUGAGGUGCUUAGAGAUGAGUGUGCGUCUGAUUAGCUAGUUGGUGCGGUAACGGCGCACCAAGGCGACGAUCAGUAGGGGGCGUGAGAGCGUGGACCCCCACACGGGUACUGAGACACGGACCCGACUCCUACGGGAGGCAGCAGUAAGGAAUAUUGGUCAAUGGAGGAAACUCUGAACCAGCCAUCCCGCGUGCAGGAAGAAUGCCCUAUGGGUUGUAAACUGCUUUUAUCUGGGAAGAAAAGUCGGGAUUUAUCCUGAUCUGACGGUACCAGAGGAAUAAGCACCGGCUAACUCCGUGCCAGCAGCCGCGGUAA
Molecule: ribosomal RNA, 496 nt
Filed under: uncultured bacterium
Lineage: Bacteria
Description: bacterial SSU rRNA
Rfam family: Bacterial small subunit ribosomal RNA
Source: RNAcentral